Non-coding RNA from Heterocephalus glaber (naked mole-rat), 1530 nucleotides. NCBI's taxonomy places the organism in Eukaryota, Metazoa, Chordata, Mammalia, Rodentia, Bathyergidae. The record is from RefSeq and is a predicted model, not a curated record.
UAGAAAGGAAUGAACAAUAUUUAGGCAUUCAUUGUUUUAUCUGCUGAAUUUAAGAGCCUUUAAAACAGUAAAAUAUCUCAUUUCAAAAUGACUUUGACGGCCAUGAAGAUUUUAACAAACCAUAACAGGCAUUUCUUUCAACAGUGCUUAUGUGGCAACGGCCAUGCUACCCGUCAUGUGGAAGGCCACUCAAUCCUCACACCCACCUUGUAAAGAUGAAGCCCGCCUUGUCUCCAUUUUUUCACAGGAGGAACCUAAAUCUAGGAGACGUUAAAUUCCCGGCCCAAGUGGUGAAGCCAGGAAUUGGAAGCUGCUCUGUUAUCUCACUGCAGAGUCUUAGAAAAAACAUAGCGAAAUGUUUCAACAGGCUCAGAAAAGUUCCUGGGGAGUUCCAUCUCCUCUCAAGCUACCCAGCCCACUCGGAAGCAACCACUUACCGGUUCCUGGUGCAGUUUUUAGGUCCAGCACUGUACAGGUGCUCAGUAUAUUUUCAGAUUUGCCCGGAAGCGGAAUUGCUGAAUCUAGGGAAUGAGCGUUGUAAUGCUGGAGGACAGAGCCUAGUUUUUCGCCGCAGAGGGCGCUCCAACUUGCACCCUCGUCCUCCAUAGACAGUGCGCCUGCGCAGUUCUCACACAGGGACCGCAGCCACCGUUCGACCCGUUAAGCUUCUUUUAUUGCUGUCAAUUUGAUAUUAAAACUCCCAUUGGCGUACACUUUCAUUUGCAUUUCCCCUUAUGAAUGUUGUUGAAAAUCUUUUAAUACGCGCAAAUUUUAAGAGAAAUUUUUAUUUCUCCACGUACUAGCCAUAAUCUUUUUGGUGUAAUUAGAUCCCUUUUCUUUCACCUUUCUUUCUUUCUUUCUUUCUUUCUUUCUUUCUUUCUUUCUUUCUUUCUUUCUUUCUUUCUUUCUUUCUGUACUGGGCAUUGAAUCCAAGCACUUCACACUAAGCAAUAUCCGCAGCCCUUUAUUAAUUUUAUUUUAAGUUUUGAAACAGGGCUUCACUGAGACACAAAGUAGCCCAGUCUGGGCUGGAACUUGAGUCUUUCCUGCUUCAGCCUCCCAGAGCGAGGACUAUAGGUGAGCACUACCCUGUCUAGCUUUUUUUUUUAUUUUUAUUUUUUGGAAGAAGAUUUCAUACAAAUAUAUCAAGGAAAUCAGCAUUUUGUUUGGAAUAUGAGCUAUAAAAACGUGUUGACAAAUGCCAAGCCUAGUCCGUAGAGCACAGAUACUUUUUAAACGCUUCCUCACGCAACGAAACUAUUUUCAAUAAAAAUCCUGAAACCAAAGGAAUAAGUAGAUGCAGGAAAUGAAAUAGUAAACGUUUUCUUUUAUUGAAAUUCAUAUGUGUAAUCAUACUGUAAACAUUUAAAAAGUAAAAUACAUAUUACAGUGCAAACAAGAAAAAAGAUUAAUAUUUUAAAUUACACUAACAAUGAAAAAGGGAAGUCAUACCUGUGUAUAGGUCUGUUACGGUGACGAAUCAUGAUAUUACAGCUUAACAAUAAUUAAAGACAUUAGAAGAAAAGCACA